AAUGGCCAAAGCCAGAAGCCCAAGCAUUGUCCAUUAUACCUCCCCCUCCACACCCUCAACCCAACUGGUCACCAAGGCCAGGGAGGCUUGUCCUCAAUGUCCUUCAACUCUGUCUGUUGCUCACAUCUUCCUUGGGUGACUACAUUCUCCUCCUCACUGUUUGCCCUGCAUGGGAACUUCCUCUUUCCCAAAUCCAACUUCCCACAGCAGCUGGGUGACAUUUACUAUUUCCUGCAGCUCUCAGAUGUAGCUCCCCGUUACCUUCAGAAGGCAGUUCAAACACCUUGGCCAGCCUUAAAACCCCUGCUCGGUCCAGUGACCUCGCCCCUGUUCCUACACAUUCCAGGCGCUGUCUCGGGAUGUAGCUCUGACCACCCCGCCACUUUCUCACACUGGUAAGUUGAGUUUCCAGCCAGGAAUGAGACCUUUGGGCCUUGCUGAUCCUUCACGGCUGAGGCUGGAACAUACAUGGAAACCGCCUGAGUAAUCCUAUGGCGACCCUGCACAGCCUGAUGGGGCAUGAACUGGAAAUUCCCUAUAACAUUGCUAAUUAAAUGAUUCCUCCUGCCUUCUUCUCCUUUUA
Molecule: long non-coding RNA, 583 nt
Organism: Orcinus orca (killer whale)
Lineage: Eukaryota; Metazoa; Chordata; Mammalia; Artiodactyla; Delphinidae
Exons: 2
Source: RefSeq, a predicted model, not a curated record